UACGGGGGGAGCAAGCGUUGUUCGGAUUUACUGGGCGUAAAGGGCGCGUAGGCGGUCAGCACAAGUCAGUUGUGAAAUCUCCGGGCUUAACUCGGAAAGGUCAACUGAUACUGUGCGACUAGAGUGCAGAAGGGGCAACUGGAAUUCUCGGUGUAGCGGUGAAAUGCGUAGAUAUUGGGAGGAACACCAGUGGCGAAGGCGGCUACCUGGACCGGAACUGACGCUGAUGCGCGAAAGCGUGGGGAGCAAACAGG
This 254-nucleotide ribosomal RNA is filed under the name uncultured bacterium. Its description in RNAcentral is "partial 16S ribosomal RNA". It matches the Rfam family "Bacterial small subunit ribosomal RNA", at positions 524 to 776 of the family's 1533-position model. The record is from RNAcentral.